RNAcentral lists this ribosomal RNA (383 nucleotides) under Chromobacterium sp. 23. RNAcentral's name for it is "bacterial SSU rRNA". It matches the Rfam family "Bacterial small subunit ribosomal RNA", at positions 99 to 478 of the family's 1533-position model. RNAcentral also lists the same sequence under 19 other names. The record is from RNAcentral. Lineage: Bacteria; Pseudomonadati; Pseudomonadota; Betaproteobacteria; Neisseriales; Chromobacteriaceae.
CGAACGGGUGAGUAAUGCGUCGGAAUGUACCGUGUAAUGGGGGAUAGCUCGGCGAAAGCCGGAUUAAUACCGCAUACGCCCUGAGGGGGAAAGUGGGGGACCGUAAGGCCUCACGUUAUACGAGCAGCCGACGUCUGAUUAGCUAGUUGGUGAGGUAAGAGCUCACCAAGGCGACGAUCAGUAGCGGGUCUGAGAGGAUGAUCCGCCACACUGGGACUGAGACACGGCCCAGACUCCUACGGGAGGCAGCAGUGGGGAAUUUUGGACAAUGGGCGCAAGCCUGAUCCAGCCAUGCCGCGUGUCUGAAGAAGGCCUUCGGGUUGUAAAGGACUUUUGUUCGGGAGGAAAUCCCGCUGGUUAAUACCUGGCGGGGAUGACAGUAC